AUUGAACGCUGGCGGCAUGCCUUACACAUGCAAGUCGAACGGCAGCACGGGAGCGAAUCCUGGUGGCGAGUGGCGAACGGGUGAGUAAUGUAUCGGAACGUACCUUUCAGUGGGGGAUAACGUAGCGAAAGUUACGCUAAUACCGCAUAUUCCUGUGAGCAGGAAAGCAGGGGAUCGCAAGACCUUGCGCUGAUUGAGCGGCCGAUAUCAGAUUAGCUAGUUGGUGAGGUAAAGGCUCACCAAGGCGACGAUCUGUAGCGGGUCUGAGAGGAUGAUCGCACACUGGAACUGAGACACGGUCCAGACUCCUACGGGAGGCAGCAGUGGGGAAUUUUGGACAAUGGGCGCAAGCCUGAUCCAGCCAUGCCGCGUGAGUGAAGAAGGCCUCGGUGUAAG
This 396-nucleotide ribosomal RNA is filed under the name uncultured bacterium. RNAcentral describes it as "bacterial SSU rRNA". It matches the Rfam family "Bacterial small subunit ribosomal RNA", at positions 30 to 429 of the family's 1533-position model. The record is from RNAcentral.